This 468-nucleotide ribosomal RNA is filed under the name uncultured bacterium. Its description in RNAcentral is "partial 16S ribosomal RNA". It matches the Rfam family "Bacterial small subunit ribosomal RNA", at positions 28 to 507 of the family's 1533-position model. The record is from RNAcentral.
GACGAACGCUGGCGGCGUGCUUAACACAUGCAAGUCGAACGGAAAGACCCGGCGUUUGUGGGUUGCUCGAGUGCCGAACGGGUGAGUAAAACGUGAGUAACCUGCCCUUGAAUUUGGGAUAACUUCUGGAAACUGGGGCUAAUACCGGGUAGGAUCUCCUGCACCGCGUGGUGGGUUGGAAAGAUCCGGCGGUUGUGGAUGGUCUCGCUGCUUAUCCGCUUGAUUGUGGGGUAGGGGCUUACCAAGGCUUUGACGGGUAGCCGGCCUGAGAGGGUGACCGGCCACAUUGGUACUGCGAUACGGACCAGAAUCCUACGGGAGGCAGUAGUCGGGAAUAUUGCGGAAUGGGCGGAAGCCUGAGGCAGCAACGCCGCGUGCGGGAUGAUGGCCUACGGGUUGUAAACCGAUUUCGCCGGUGACGAAGCGUGAGUGACGGUAAUGGGUAAGGAAGCCACGGCUAACUACGUG